GAUGAACGCUAGCGGCAGGCCUAACACAUGCAAGUCGAGGGAGAAGCCCUUUCGGGGGCAGAAACCGGCGCACGGGUGCGUAACGCGUAUGCAACCUACCUUUCACAGGGGGAUAGCCCGAAGAAAUUUGGAUUAAUACCCCAUAAUAUUAUUGGAUGGCAUCAUUUGAUAUUUAAAACUGCGGUGGUGAAAGAUGGGCAUGCGUCCUAUUAGCUAGUUGGAGUGGUAACGGCACCCCAAGGCUACGAUAGGUAGGGGUCCUGAGAGGGAGAUCCCCCACACUGGUACUGAGACAGGGACCAGACUCCUACGGGAGGCAGCAGUGAGGAAUAUUGGUCAAUGGUCGGAGGACUGAACCAGCCAUGCCGCGUGCAGGAAGAAUGCCUUAUGGGUUGUAAACUGCUUUUAUAUGGGAAGAAUAAGGCGUACGUGUACGUUGAUGACGGUACCAUAUGAAUAAGCAUCGGCUAACUCCGUG
Molecule: ribosomal RNA, 478 nt
Filed under: uncultured bacterium
Lineage: Bacteria
Description: partial 16S ribosomal RNA
Rfam family: Bacterial small subunit ribosomal RNA
Source: RNAcentral